AUGGAUGCAACCCAUGCAAUGACCCAGAAGAGAGUUUUGGGUCCCCCGGAACUGGCUCUUCAGACAGUUGUCAGCCGCUGGAUGAGGGUGCUAAGAACUUCACCUGGGUCCUCUGCAAGAGCAGCAAGUGCCCUUAACCAUGAAGCCAUCUUUCCAGCACCAUGUGGUCAAUCUUAUAAUCUACAGACCACAUCCUUCACAGUUAUUUAGUGCCUCUGGAAAAGUGUGUUCUGAGGACAUAGUCUUCUGCCCCGUCUGCACACCGAAAAGCUUUUAUGCAGAGUGGCCAUCCAGCAUGAAGAAACGUUGACAUUGAACAUUUUGUCCAUAUGACAGGGUGAACAAGCAGAAAAGGAGACUCCAGGGUCACUGGCUCCCCCGUCUACCUAGCCUUUGAGAACUCAUGAAGAAGCUGCCUCUACACAUUGUUUUAUGUCAGAUAGGUCCCCUGCCCCAUAUGAUU
This is a long non-coding RNA of Mus caroli (Ryukyu mouse), 463 nucleotides long. RefSeq lists it as uncharacterized. The record is from RefSeq and is a predicted model, not a curated record. Lineage: Eukaryota; Metazoa; Chordata; Mammalia; Rodentia; Muridae.